CUGAAAAUACCGGUUCUCGUUUGAUCACCGAAGUUAAGCGGCGCUGACCCCAGUCAGUACUUAGAGUGACCGCUUGGGGACACCAGGUAUUGUAA
This is a non-coding RNA of Acanthosepion pharaonis, 95 nucleotides long. The record is from the annotation of a GenBank genome assembly. NCBI's taxonomy places the organism in Eukaryota, Metazoa, Mollusca, Cephalopoda, Sepiida, Sepiidae.